AUACUUACCUGGCAGGGGAGAUACCAUGAUCACGAAGGUGGUUUUCCCAGAGCGAGGCGUAUCCAUUGCACUCCGGAUGUGCUGACCCCUGCGAUUUCCCCAAAUGCGGGAAACUCGACUGCAUAAUUUGUGGUAGUGGGGGACUGCGUUUGCGCUCUCCCCUU
RNAcentral lists this small nuclear RNA (164 nucleotides) under Mus spicilegus (steppe mouse). RNAcentral describes it as "U1 spliceosomal RNA (ENSMSIG00000014073.1)". It matches the Rfam family "U1 spliceosomal RNA". Rfam says of the family: U1 is a small nuclear RNA (snRNA) component of the spliceosome (involved in pre-mRNA splicing). Its 5' end forms complementary base pairs with the 5' splice junction, thus defining the 5' donor site of an intron. Lineage: Eukaryota; Metazoa; Chordata; Mammalia; Rodentia; Muridae. The record is from Rfam by way of RNAcentral.